GACAUUGUAAGGAUCAGAUUGUGAAAAAAGAAAGUUUAUAACAGAAAACUAGGAUCUCUCUCUCAAAGCACAUACACAAUAGGCUAAUCAGGAUUUAUGACAGAAUAUACUUCAUUACAAAGUAAAGUUGUUGCAAUUAACAUCUAUUUAAUUCAAUAUCAUCCUUAGACUGCUUAAUCAUUUGUAUGAAUUUCACCCGUUUGAAUAACAUUAGGCACCAAAAGCACUAACAGACGAGUAAACAUACCAGUUAAAUACAGAGAUUUUGUACUGAACCUAGAUAUACAAGGAUCAAAAUCCACCUUCCACCCCUCCAAAUAUUUGCCAUCUUGGCGGGUUCGAUAUAGUGAACUGUCUCCCAGAUUUAAAACAACUUCAUUAAUGGGACAUGAGACUCAGUGAGAUGACGAUUGGAAGAAAAAUUGGCGGUAAUCUGAUUUACUCUGCAUCACAUUUCAGACGAAAAAGUGGACAGAUCUCAGAGACAAUGGAGAGUUCUACUAGAAAAGGAAGAAGUUCCAUCUUUCACGAGAUAUUUGACCCACAACUCCAUCGUUGCUACAUCUGCAGAAAAACCCCUGUCAACCAUUUCACUGACAAGUUGCACGGCUCUAGUACUUUUGUUAUUUCUUAGUAGUCCUUGGAUUAUUGUGUUAUAAUUGACCCCAUCUGGAAAUCAUCCAUUUCCUUCCAUCUCCUUUAGGAGCUGAUAUGCUUCCUCUGUACGUCCUCCUUUGCACAACCCAUGCAUGAGAAUGUUACAUGUCGACAUGUUAGGUUGCAAGCCUCGAGCAUGCAAAGAAUCAAACAGCCCCUUAGCAUCGUCGAGCUUUCCGGCAUUACACAUGCUAUUCAUUAUAAUAUUGUAAGUCACAAUGUUUGGGACGAAUUUGGAACCUUCCAUCUUUUGAAGCAAUGUCAUGGCCUUGUCAAUCUGUCAUGUUUUACACAAGCCAUCCAGGAAAGAAUUCAAGGUAUAAUGAUUUAGAUACAGAUCAUGAGAUCGCAUCUCGUUAAUUAGCUCCCCCGCGGCUUCUAGGUUCCCAACCUGGCAAUAUCCACUUAUGAGAGUGUUGUACGUGAUGACAUCAGGAUUCAAGCCCCUUUCAAGCAUUUCUUGGAACAGUAUUUUUUAUUUGUCAAUUCUUUUCACUUUGCAGUAUCCGUUAAUCAACAUGUUAUAGGUAACAACAUUAGGUGAGCAGCCUCUUUCAACCAUCAAAUUAAGAACCACCAGAGCAUCAUCCAUCCUAUUUUGCAAACAAUAACCGUUCAACAAUGCAUUGUAAGUGACACUAUCAGGCAUUUUACCUAAUUGAAUCAUCCGGUUGAUUAUGGCCUCUGCCUCUACAAGCAUUCCCUCUUUACAAUGUGCAUCCACCAGAAUAUUGAAGGUUUGAACAUUCGGCAUGACUCUGCUUUGCACCAUAUGACUCAGCAGUCUUUGGGACUCUUUCAAUUGGCCGGAAUUGCACACUCCUUGAAUGACAGAGGUAUAAGUAACGACAUCCGGUUCAAUUCCUGCCUCCAUCAUCUUCUCCAUCCAGACCGUCGCAUCUUUCCAUUGGCCUAGCUUGCACAAGUAAUGAACCAAGGAGUUAUAAGUGAAUAUGUCGGGUUGGAUGCCUCCGCUUGUCAUCUCUUUCAACAAUAUGAGAGCAUCUUCCAUCUGGCCUACAUCGCACAGACCGUGGAUCAAGGUGUUAUAAGUAACAACAUUUGGUUUGACGCCUUUCUUGCUCAUAAUGCCGUGGAGUCUCAACGCCUCUGUGAUCAAUCCCUCCUUGCAAAGACCAUCAAUUACUAUGCCGUAUGCAAAGGAACCGAGCCUGCAGCUUCUCUCUUCCCAGUCCCUCAGCAAUUCAAUUGCCAAUCCGGUGUUACCUGCCUUGCAUAACCCCUUGGCAAUUAUCGCAUACGUGGUCUCAUCAGGUUCGGGGCCAUUUCGUCCCAUAUCAUCGAGGAACCUCAAGGCUUGAUCAGUUUUGCCCUGAAUAAAGAGACCGUCAAUCAGGGUGCUCGACGUCACCACAGUGAUGGGAAACCCAAGCUUGAAGAUUCUGCCCAGAAUAGACAAACCCAAAUCAACCCGCCUUAACCGGCAGAAGCAAUUCAUCCAAAUAGUGAGCAACACAACAUCAUCCUCGACCCCCAAAGAAGGCAGCCGCUCAAUCAAGCGGAUGGCAGUCGAGUAGUGCUUCAUCCUCACUAUAGCGCCCAACAGUAGAUUGAAAUCCCUGGAGGAAGGCAAAGGGCUCGCCUUUAUCAUUUUACCGAAGCAACACAGGGCAUCACCGACACUCGUAAACAAACCACCACCAGCUCUGCAAUUUCUCCUCACGUAACUCAAGACCUGGUUGGGAUCGUCUAAAUUAGGGUUAGGGGUCGAGGAAAACCUCCGACGACGGGGAGACGAGAAAGGGAGAUGAGAAGGAUGAGGGAGAUGGAGGAUGGAAUGGGAUGACGACUCGCUGGAGAACGCAGCUGGAGCACGAAGAAGGAGGAAGAUGGAAGAAGCAGGGCAGACAUUCUUUGGCUUCAUCGGUUGAUGAUGAAUCUGAAAGCUGAAAAGCUUCAGCUUAUGGCUCUCUCUCUAUCAAGCUUUCAUAUUCGGGCUUGGCUCUACCGUUUCUUGGUUAUGAUAUCGAACAGAAAGAUGUAGAUCUGGAUAGGACAUGAUUUCAAAUGAUUUCGCAUCAUUAUUUACUGACAAUACGAAUAUUUCUUUUAUCCAUUUUUUUAAUAAGUGAUACAAUUAAUCGCAAAAUCAGAUUUUCAUUUUUUUGUUAGUAGUGACUCAUGCGCACAGUUUUACUUCUCCAACUAAUUGAGAUUUACCAGAUCAUUGAACAUAUUGAUAAACAGUGUGAUAACUUGAUGAGGAGCAUCUAACAAUAUAUUUCAAUCCGCUUAACUUGUAUCUACGACUACGUAUGUUUGUACGGAUGAAUAAAUUAUAGCAUGUAAUGUGGAAUUUAACUCAUUUCAUGUCCCGAUCCAACAAUUGAAAUUUGAUUUAACAAAUAUUUCUGACUCAAUCAUUCCUAAUUUCACUACAAGGCCUUGAGCAUUCUGCUUCAUAAACCGCAAUCCUUCUUAGAAAUAUAAUUGUCCAAGGACCUAAACAAUAAUACCAGAGAUGAUUCACAAGCUAAAAAGAGAGAGAGGGAAACAACAAUCCUUCUUAGAAAUAUAAUUGUCCAAGGACCUAACUAAUAAUGCCGAAGACGAUUCAUGAGCUAGCAAGAGAGAGAGAAAGAGAGAGAGAGAGAGCAUGAGUAGUGAUGGGCUAUGGCGUUAAAAUUUGACGCACAAUCACAAGAAAAUAAAUUAAAAGCGAGAAGGAGAAAUUGAAACACAAAAUUUAUCCCAAAUUGCUCCUAAACUAGGAGUACAUUUAGCAAAUAACUCUACUAUAAUUAGCAUAUUGCAUCUUUAUGUUACAAUUUUCAAUUACAAGAGAAAGAAAUUAUAUAUGCUCGGUAACUAUUCAUGAGCUUAAGCCUAAACUGCUAAUAAAUAUGAACUCAAAUUAUAAAAAUCUCCAAACUCUUGUGUGCAUUCCUGUUAAUUGGGAGUAUGAAUCACUUCCCCAAUAUAUCAUAUAGUAUGGAAGUUGUUGUUAGAGAAGCAAAAGUGGCAAAAAAUAGGGAUGGAUUUGAGUGGGGCAUAGAGCAGGAGAGAAGCAAUGGCGGAUUUAUCUUAUAUCAUCAUUUAGCGACAAUACAAAUAUUUUUUAUAAAUUUUUUUUAUAAAUGAUACAAAUGACCAUUUUCACGAGCUAAACAGAGGGAAAGAACAUGAGCAGUAACGAGCUAUGGUGUAAGGAUUCGACGCACAAUUACAAAAAAAAAAAAAAAAGAGCGAGGAAAAGAAAUUGAAACACAAACCACCGCCCGUGGUGGCCGCAGUGGUUUCGCGCUCUCUCCCCCACCGAGGGGGGAGGGGUUCAAAACUCCGCGUAAGCAUUCGCGCGACUCACCUGUGGCUGAGUCUGUGGUGGUGGCCCAGUUCAUCCCGGGUUUACCUCGCCGGCUGCCAGCUGUUCGGGGGUUCCCGGAUUACCAAAAAGAAAAAACAAGAAUUGAAACACAAGAUUUAUCUUAUAUUGCUAGUCAAGGGGUUGUGCACAUUGGCGACUGCUAUUUUGGGGUUGCUUGAGGUCGCACGACUCAGUCUAGGCCGUUCAACAGCCAGAUCCAGUCGUUGGCCGCCAAUGGCUAAACUUAAAAAAAAAAAAAAUGUAAAAACUUUUUUAACAAAAAAUUAUUAAAAGUCCUUUAUAAAUGUAAUUUUUAUCGAACGAUAUUUAAACCAAAGUGUUUUUUAAUGCACUUUAAAAUUACAAUUCACCAAACACUAUUUACAUUUUGGAAAACCCCUUUGCCCCAAAAGUGUUUGCAUUUUCCCAAGAACAUUUUCUCAAAACCAAACCAAAGGGGACCUAUAUAUACCCAGUAGCUACUCAUGGGCUUAAACCCAUAUUAUCAAUAAAAUACAAGCUUGAACUAUAAAAGCUCCCAAAUCAAGAUUAUGAAUCACGUCCCAAUGUAUAUCACGGAGAAUGUUGUUGGAGAGGCAAAACUAGCAAAAAAUUGGGAUGGAUUUGAGUGGGGCAUAGAGCGGGAGAGAAGCAAUGUGGACGGCAACGAAUACUCCAUUGGUGGACGGCGAUACUAGGACUAGUCAUUGGUGGCUGCGAUCGGCUCGGGCUAGUCAUUGGUGGCUACGAUCGGCGAGAGAGGCAUCAAACGUGAGUGAAUCGAGGGCAACGAGCUUACCCAAAAUGAAAAACAAAAUGAGUUUACUUUCAUUAACAAACUCUAAUUGGUAGUGCCUUAAACAUUUAUCCCAAAGCUUUAGUCUUUUGAAAAAAUAUCCCAAAUUAAUACCUCAUGAUAUAUUUAUCCAAAGUAAUUUCAUCUCACAGAACAUCCCAAAUCGAUAUCCCUCACCCAAAUAUAUGCUAUGUUAAAAUGCAUACAUGUCAACAUAUAUGAAUUUUCCACAUCGGAUCAAUCAUUCUUCACCUCUCAUUCAUCUUAUAGCCAUCUGCCAUUUGUGUUGAUAGGUAUGCAUUACAAAUAGAUUUUUGUUUGAAUACCAAUUUGGGGGUUUUUUUUUUGUGAGAUGAAAUUAAUUUGCAAUAAAUAUGUCAUGUGUUUACUAAUUUGAGAUUUUUUUUUAGUUGUAUUAACCCAAAAAAAAAAAAAACAGAAAAAAGCCAAAAUACCUUGUUAGACUCUUUUUCUUAAAGGACCCUUAGAAUGGACUUUUCUCAAAUUCUUCAUGAAGUGAGCUAUACCCUAUGCUCAUCACCGAUGCUAAAAUAGCUAUCGAACGAGCACUCGAUGGUCACAUGGCCAUCUCCACCAUUGGUUAGGGUUUAAUUUGUCCCAAAACUUCCAUUCCCUCAAAAUUACUCACGUGAAGUCCUAGUAAAUUGCACAAAAUAAGCCCCCCAAAUCCCGGUAAUGUGUCAUUUAAAAGCUUGUUUCAAAUAAUUUCUAAUGGUACAAAUUUUGUUCACUUUUUCAAUUCAAUGAACAACAUAUUGGGUAAAAUUGAUACGAAAAUUGGACAAAAAAGAAGAUCACAUUCAAAAGGCGCCAUAUCUACACUCACUAGGACUAAAUCAUGAUAUUUCACUAAAAGACACUCUGCCAUCCAAAUUAUCAAAUACAAUGAAUAGAAAACAAUCAAUGCUUUAAUAUAGAUGUGGCAUAUUGUUCUUCCAAAAAAAAACAAAUAUUGUCUUCUUCCUCUCUUGCUCUUUUCUCAAGUUGAAUAAUAACAUUUCGUAUGCAAAUACAAAAUAAUUAUCUCUUUUAUCCAACCAAUCUCCUUUUUCGAAGCCAUGAUAACUUGUUUUGAGGAGAGUGGUACUUAUACAUAGGGGUGAGCAAUUCCAGAUUUUGUAGAGGUUCCACCUGGGACAUAGAACCUACCCGCUAAAAUAGAUUCAUUAUAUUUUGGAACCUAAAACUUAUUCCGCAUACCUUAAAACCUGCAAUGUACCUUGUAAUAUGUUCUAAGGUCGGAUCCAAAUUCUACCCAGCUUCCACUCGUAUUAUUAAUUGAACGAUUACAGUGAAUCAUCACUUUUAAUGAUCACUACAUGCUAUUACAAUUCACUUAUCAAAACUUAUAUUUAGAUACACGAAUAAUAUGACACAUUAACAAAGUAAAAGAAUCUCAGUCGUAAAAUAGAAAUUCAGACUAGUGAUUCAAUAGACGCUGUGGAAUAAUGUAGAAUCAUACAAAGACAUAAAUAAAGAAAAAUACAAAAAUUUGUUCUAGCUUCUACCAACCAAGAAACUGGAAUCUGUUAUCAAAAUAAAUUCCUUAAUUUUUUAAACUUGAAACUUACCCUGUAUAUCUUGAAACUUAGAACUGAACAAGUUCCCACUAAUCUGGUUUUUCGGUUCCAGGAUCUACCUUAAAACCAUGCUCACCCCUACUUAUACACAUUGCAUAUUCUCUUAGAAAGAACUUCAAAGAACAUGGGUCGGGUUUAUUGAGUCCAUCGAUUUUGGGUAGACUUGACCUAAUAUCCAAUAGGCUCGGAUUUGAAAACACUAUUGCAUAGAGCAAAAGGUACCACAAUGGUGAUUAGUAGCGAUGGUACUUGUGAGCUGUUUCCAUUAGCAAGAUACAACACUAAAGAAGGGUACAUAGGACCACUUGAUAGAUUUCCUACAAUGCAGCGUCCCUUAAUAGGAUCAUGGCAUAAUUAGGACAUCAAAGGCUAGUUCCAUAUUCUCCGGCACAUGUGCAAGGGAUUUCAAAUUCCAUGAUGCACUUCCAAUCAUUUAUAUGAACAGCAAAGAGAAAAUGCCUAACUAACAUUCUCAAAUUAUAUUUCUUUCUAAAUAUCUGUCAUAAGAACUAGAAAUGCGGAACUGGCCACUGAGGUGCAAAUUACCACCAAUUCACAAGACAACAUAAAACAAGAUGUUGUUUAGGUAUCCACUAGCAGGCUUAGCAUAAAGACCUAUCUCUGAAAUGCUUGCAUGCUAUUAUGAUUGUGUCAGCAAACAAAGAGUUGAGGGUGUAACAAGAGGCAGACUAUCCAAGCAUAUCCUCCUGCCGUACGUGAGACUUAAAAAAAAAAAAAAAAACAGAAAAAAUGUGUUCGAGAGUCAAUUUGGCCUUGUUUAGUAACGCUCCAAAAAGUAUCUAAUUUUAUUUUUCUGUUCUUCGGAACAGAAAAAUAAUUCGUUUGGUAAAUUUUUUGUUCUCGAGAAUAGAUUUAGAACAAAAUCAAAAAGUAAGAACAAAAAUCAUUAAAAGAAGACUGAUAAUUCAGAUUCUUAGUGAUUUACGUUAGAACAAUAUGGAUACAUCUUAAUGGACUGCUAAGUUUUUACACUUAGCUCGGGCUCUCCCAAACCCAUACCAAUUCGCGACUUAAGGUUUAAGUUUUUUAACAUGCAAGAGAUUAUUAACUACACCUAAGUAAAAUAAAGGGAGAUUUAUUUUACUCCUACGAACCAGAGACUAUGGGUACGGGGACUUGGUUACAUUAGACUUCUCUAAUACCCUUUCGGUACCAUUUCUUUUUAAUUUUUCAAAAUUAUUUUUGCAGGCAGCUGAUUUAUUUUAACCUAAAUUACUAUCAUGCAAAUGCGGUGACCACACGGGCACUCAUCCAUUAUUUAAAACAUUCAAAUAAAUAAAUUGCAUCAUACAAAGCAAGCAAUCAUUUUUUUGGAUUUUCUUAAAAAUUGGAGUUCUUUUAUAAAAAUGCAUUUCUAAACUAAAUGACUUAAUCCUAUUAAUAUGCAAAUUCUAAUUAAAUGGGUCUAUUAUGCAAACUAAUUAUUAUGCACCUCAUGACCUAACUUCACUAAUGAACAAAUUCUGAUUAAAUAAUCCUAUUAUGCAAACUAAUUAACAUGCACCUAGUAUUUUUGGUUUUUUUAUAUUGAAAUUCAGAAUUUAUAAAUGUCCUAAUUAAUCUAUCUAAAAAGGAUGAUUUUCUAAUUUAUUCUAGGGAUUAAUUUGACUUAAACCCUAUCCUAUCUUAGAAAACUAUUUUUUUUUAAAAAGAGAUUUGAGAUGUGCGAACAUUAUCUAAAACCUUAUUUUGUAAAAAAUGUUAUUUAAUCAACCCUAACUUAUUUUUACCAAUGCAAUCCUAAAAAAGUAAUCCUAAGGAAAUUCUAAUUUAUUAAACCUACAUGUCUGAUUUACUAAACCUAUGUGCUCAUGCAGAAUUUUUUAUUUUUUAUUUUCUUAUUAUUUUUUAGUGUUUUUCCAAGACAAGCAAUUAUGAAAUAAAACUUACAUCUACACUAUCAAGAUAUUCAACAAAUAAAGAAUUAAAAUAAUCGAAAAAAUAACCUGUUGUCUCACAGGUUAAAUUAACGAUUACUCUAAUCCUAAACAUUACGACAAAAAGUUCAAGAUAAUUAAAAAUCUGAUCCGAAGUCUUACGGAUCAAAUUAAUAAUUAUAAUGAUUUAACAAUUAAAAUUCUACCAAAAUACCCAAAAAUUAAUAUAAUUAAAAAAAUAAUCCGAUGUCUCUCAGAUUAAAUUAAUAAUUAUAAUAAUUCCGGAAAAAAUCCUAGCGGAUAAUGUCUACAAUAUUCAUAAAAUGAACAAACAUCCAAUGUUUCAAUUUAAGCUAUUACAACUAAACAUGAUAAAUAAUAAUAAUAAUAAUAAUAAUAAUAAUAAACUACCUUGACUCUCUUUUUUUAAAAUAAAAAAGGGGUCAGAGCGCGGGCGCUUGGGCAGUGACGAUGCUGGUGCUCAGAGGUGCGGCAGGUGCCACGGACGGUGGCCGGCGUCGGGACUCCGGCGGGAGCAGGCGGACGGCGACAGUGAGGGGCUCGAGCUCGGAGCAGCGGCGGAGGCGGAGCUGGACCGCGGGUCGCUGGGUGGCGACGUCGGCAGCGGUGCGGGGCUCGGCUGGCGUCGGGGCGUCGCGGAUUGCUGGGCGGCGACGGCGUCGAGCUCCGGGGCAGUGGGCGUCGAUCCGGGUAGCAGGGAUCACCGGCGGAGGCGGUGCGGUGGCGCGGCGAGCAGUGGGGGCGGCGCUGGCGUCAGCGAGCGGACCAGCGAGGCGGCGGUGCGGAGGCGCGGCGGAGCUCGGAGAUCGACGGGUGCGUCGCGGGCGGAUCAGGAGUGUUGCAGUGGCGCGGCGUCGGCGAGGGCGGAAGCGCGGUCGUCGGGGCGCCCGGCGUUCGGAGGUGCGGCGAUGGAGCUGCAGAUGCGGGCGAGUCCGGCGGAGUGACAGUGACGUCGUGGGCAGAGGUGCUGUGAUCGGCGGGCAAGUGCUGCAGAUGCUCGAACAGAGGGUGGAGGCGAGCGGCGGGACGUCGUGCAGCUUUGCGGAGAAGGAACCCACGAAGAAGAAGCACAGUGCACGUCUCUUUCUUUUUUCUUUUUUUUUGGUUUCUCUCUCACCUCACGUCUACUCGCACGUAUUCCCUGCUGACUUUUGUACUUUUCUUCAGUCAAAAGGGGCAAACAGCCCCUUUGACCUGACCCAGAAAAUUGAACUCAAAAAGAAAUGAAGGAGAAAACUUCCUUACUUUUGCUUUGAAAAUUUUUCUUGAGUUCACUCUCGAUUUUUUUUUUAAAUCCACCCCUUGCUUACGAAAAAUGAAGCUCUCUUUUAUACUAAUUCCGAAUGGCUGCUUUAUAUGACAUUUUUCAAGUUUCCAUCUUCUGUCGCAUUAAAUCAGAGCUGUAAAUCAUAGCAUGAUUUCGCAAUCAGCCCGAUCCUACUCAGAUUUUUUCCAUUUUGCAAAAUUCUUGCUUCUUAUUUACUUGAUUUUUAAAUUGUUUCUGAAUGCUCAUCAGAAUUUCAAAUUUCCAUGCAUAAUCAAUCAAAUCAAUUUCCCUCAUUUUUUCAUUUUUUCCUUUUAUUUGUUCCAAUGCAAUUUUUAUUUUCUUUAUUUUCCUAGAUUUGCUAAAAAUAGGUGUCAACACAUCUCAAUUUGUGAAUCACUAAAACAAAGGAAAAAAAAAAGGAGCAAUGAAAUUACCUGAUCACAAAACGAUAUGAAGCUAGAUUUUUUAUUAAUCAAGGAAGAAAACUUCAACAUUCAUCCGCGAAAGAAAGUGACACAAGUAGAAAGGCUUCACGUGAAAAUCUGGGCUUUCUAGAUUCUAGAACUAGAACAGAGCAUGUUUGCCAAUUUCUAAGGAAUACCUAUUGACGCAUUGAAGAUAAGAAAAUUUCUUGUGAGCAUGUUUGCCAAGUAUUCAUUGAGAUAAUCGGUAACAUGAUCCAAUGAAUAAAUCUUUUGGCUAUUUCUUUAGAUAUCUCAUGUAUUUCGUGAGCAACAAUGAGUGAUCUCAAGUGAUGCAUGUGAAUGCAACAGUUUACGUAAAUUUGGGAGUACUAGUCAAGCUCAAAAUUGAAUAGUUCAAAUGUUAUGCAAGAUAGGAUGUUUAAAAAAAAAAAAACAGAAACAAGGAUUCAACGAGUAAGCAAAGGAAUCGAGAAUCUCCCUUGAUUAAGUUGUCUAGAGUUAUUGGAGUCAACAAAAGAUAACUCCGGAGAAAUAGAUGAGACAUAAAUGAGAGUACAAGAUGAAAAAGGAUGAGCAACAUAAACGACAUACAAAUGAACAUUAAGAGACAAUUGAAAUGUGAUAAAACCCUCAUUAAUUCCAAAAAAUGAAAAAAUCAGAAUUACCGAUGAUUUGUGAAAGGGAGACAAAUUUGUGUGUUCAAAUUGUACAAUUGUGUGCAACUGUUGUCCAAGUGGUAGAAAAAAGACGUUAGCCAAAGAAAAAGGACAAAUUGCAAACUAAAGAAAUAUUUUGAAUUACUUAAGCAGGUCAAAUUGCUGCGUUGUUAUCAUUCUGAAUACAAACAACUAGAAGCUUUUAAGAUUGUUUAUGCAUUGGUACCAUGGAAGAAAGGUUGAUAUGCUAAUCGUAGGAGAAAACCUAUUGGGCACAACUGUUAUAAAUAGUUAGGACUAGGGCCUAUCAAAGUACAAAGUAGGGUUGAGAAAAAAAUUGAAGGCAUAUCACAUUAUGGAUACUACUUCAAAAGUUGCAAUUAUGCUAAUGCUGUCCCUCUUGAUGUUCAAUGUUAUCAAAGGUGCCCUGCACACCGGUAUAGUUAAUAGGGCUUGCAAUAUCGGCUCCUAUUCGAGCAAUGAUCCUUACGCAAACGGCAUGGCUUACAUUCUUGAGGACAUGGUGACCGUGACACCUAGUGACGAGGACUACAACUACUCUACCACAUCUCCUUAUACCGCAGCAGCCGCCUAUGGUCACGCAACUUGUAGCCAAGCACUUUCUUACAGCAAUUGUGGCAUGUGCAUGGGCUCCGUUAAAUCCCAAAUACUGGCGAUAUGUUCAAACAGUCUUGGCACUCAAGUGAAGCUUGAACAUUGUAGAAUGAGGUAUGAAAACUACUCGUUCAACGGUUACGUAGUGUGGCACCAAAUAGAGAGAACCUUGUUCGAAUGGUAGAAUCCCCAGGACAUGCGUUGUUUAAGUUUGUUGAAAAAUAAGUUCUUUAAUCACGUAUCCUAAUUUCUGUUGUGCGUGGUUAUUUCUACUAUACAUGUUGUCAUGUUUAUUGUGGGAAAUGAUAUCAUAUAUCUUUCCUAUACUUUCUUUGUUAUUUUAAAGUUUUCUAACUUUUUUUCUUUCUAUAUGACGAGAAGACCUAAGCAAGUAGCUAAAAGCUAACGACUAUUAUGAAAAUUCGAACUUGCAUUGUGCAUCUAAGCUACACCCACAUCAUUGGGUUUGUUCCUACGAUACUUAAGAGAGAGUCUUCAAGAGACGGCAGUUGGAGACACGCACAUAAGAGGACUUGCAAGAUAGUGCAAAACCAGAAGCCUAAAUCAAUAGAAGGAAACGCUACCCAAUGGCCAAAAGAAAUGGCCACCGCCUUGCCAAAACCGCUUGUGAAUUUACCAUAUAUGUUGAACUCUAAGCACAACUCCUUGAUGAAAUUCAGAAAGAAAUAACCAUGACUUUGCCCCCAGUUUUUGCAUAAGGAUCGAUACCCAAAAUCAUUAAGGAGGUCAAGAACAUAUUUACAGCACACAAGAUAGACGCCAUGCGAGGAUCCAGUCAUUUCAAUGCAAGAAAAUAUCUCAACGCCAAGAAAAUAUCUCAACGAAGCCAAAUCAGCCAAAUAGAAACUAUGUUAAAUCAGUUACUGAUCAUACGAUAUAAGUGUAUUCAACAUAAACCAAGAUAAGUACAGAGGAUGAGCUAAUGCAUGAAACACAAAAUGGACUCAUCAGCAUAAGAUUGAAGCAAACCAGCGUCUACUAAUGCAGUAGGAGAUACUUAAGAAACCAACCUUCUUUGAAGAUUUAACGAGUCAUCAUAAAAGUGGCCUUGCUUCAGUUGCUAAGCCCAUGAGUCUGCUUUUCUAAAUCAGGAAAUGGACAAAAGAGACAGCCAAGGAGUUGAUCCUCUUGUGAUAUAUGCACAACUUCAAAUUAUUUUUCCUGACUUCAAUUGAUCAUGUCUCCCGCGGGAUCCAAUCGUGAACUUAUCUCAAAGACUGGUCUCCAAAAUGCUUGCACGCUACCAUGAUUGGGUCAGCAGACAAAGAGUAGAGGGCAUGACGAGAGGCAGAUGGUUCAGGCAAGUCCCCCUGUUGUACGUGAGAAACUUAAAAAAAAAAGAGAGAGAGAAAAAUGUGUUCCCGAGAGAGUAAUUAAAACAGAUAAAAAUGCCAAGGAAUGUACCUCCUUUGAGAGCCAACCUAUUGAUCGGCAAAGUAAUUCAAUUGCUGCAGUGGAAAAGACAACGGAAUUUACAUCAUCUGGGCCUGACUGUAAUGAAGUUGAUUGUUGUUCUCAAGACGUCUAGCAUUGGAAAUGUUUGACAAUGGCGUUCAUGUUCACGCAUCAUCAAAUGCUUUUUGGAAAAUCCCUUGCAGUGCAAAGGGUAAGAUACUUCAAGUAGCUUUCAUACACUUGCAGCCACGUUCCCCAGUCAGGAAGCCAUCCCUAUGUUAUUUGCACGUAAGAAGCUGAGCAAAUAAACCAAAUGUGUAAUCGACCUGUGGUGAUAAUCUGAGUACACAGCUCGACCCAAAUAUUCUCCACUACCGAUUCAAAUACCAUCCACUUCGAGGUAUGCCUCUUCUUUGAACUAUCUAUGGUGAAUAGGACAUUGUAAGGAUCAGAUUGUGAAAAAAGAAAGUUUAUAACAGAAAACUAGGAUCUCUCCCUCAAAGCACAUACACAAUAGGCUAAUCAGGAUUUAUGACAUAAUAUACUUCAUUACAAAGUAAAGUUAUUGCUAUUAACAUCUAUUUAAUUCAAUAUCAUCCUUAGACUGCUUAAUCAUUUGUAUGAAUUUCACCUGUUUGAAUAACAUUAGGCACCAAAAGCAC
This 13339-nucleotide long non-coding RNA is filed under the name Eucalyptus grandis. RNAcentral describes it as "long non-coding RNA (EGRA_LNC000124)". The record is from RNAcentral. Lineage: Eukaryota; Viridiplantae; Streptophyta; Magnoliopsida; Myrtales; Myrtaceae.